GUCUACUUAGCUCAGCUGGAUAGAGCACACGCCUUCUAAGCGUGCGGUCGGGGGUUC
Molecule: transfer RNA, 57 nt
Filed under: Kandleria vitulina
Lineage: Bacteria; Bacillati; Bacillota; Erysipelotrichia; Erysipelotrichales; Coprobacillaceae
Description: tRNA_Arg_TCT
Rfam family: tRNA
About the family: Transfer RNA (tRNA) molecules are approximately 80 nucleotides in length.
Source: RNAcentral